AGCCCGGAGGUGCCCGAAGGAGCCCGGAGGAGCCCGAAGGAGCCCGAAGGAGCCCGAAAGACCGGGGCGGGCAGAGAACCGCGGGCGCCAAUCGCCGGGCUCGCCCCGCCCCCUGGCCGGAGACCUGAGGGGAUUGGCUGCCCGCCUCCCGCUGCGCCGCCGACCUCGUCGCCGCGCCACCGCCGGGUUCUCUGUGCCGCACGCGAGUCGUCGGCUUCAUCCCGCGGAGCUGAGCCGGCGCGGCCGCGGUGGCGGCUGCUUUGAGGCGGGUUCGGGGCCCGGCCCCCGCCUGCGAAUGCGGGAGCCCGACCCGGGGCCUGCGGAGUCGGUCUCCGACGUGUGCGGGGCUGCAGCGGCCUGACUUCCAGGCGCAGGUUGAAAACUACAGGCACAAGCCAUGGAAGCUGGAAUACUCUAAUGCUGGUAUUUUAACUGAUUUAUCCCAACUCUGCAGUUUACAACAUACACAUGCCUCUAAUGAGGUCAGAUAUUCUGAUUUCACUUGUAGCAACCAUGUAUCCAGUGCAGGACAGCCCUGGCAGUGAGGGCAGCACAGCAGGUGUUCGAUUUCUCAUCUUGUCAUUUAGUUCUUACAACUUUGUGAAGGUGACGCUGUGCUCUCAUUUUACAGAUGAAGCAACCACAGGUUAGGUACUGACUCAAGCUCCUGUCACAUGUGUAGCCCUGAACACGGAUCCUCAUGUAACUUUCUGGCUAUGUGACCUCUUGGAAAGUUACUUCCCUCUCUUGGCAUUUCAUAUUGUAGUAUAACGGUAGAAAUGCGGAAACAGAUGAGGCCAGUUUGGUCAGGGGAGAGCACAGAGGUAUUAAGAAUAUAAGCUCUUCAUAGUAUUUAGUUACAUUGAACCUACAGAAGUUGCGAUUUGGCACAAAGGGAGCAUCUGUCAGCAUGUUAGGUGGUUUUGAUGAAUGAGCAGAAGGGCUAUGAAGGGGGGAUUUAAAGGGCAGGACGGUGCUAGAUUGUUAGAACAUGGAAGUAUUGGACUGGAGUGAUGGGGGAAGGUUUUGUAUGGGGAGAAAUGUAACUGUAGCAAGAUGAACAGAGCCUAGUAUCAGCUAGUUCUUCCUUCUGACCUGCCCUGAUUGUCUGUAAAUACCUCAUUUUCCAGUAAUUUUAAAUAAAGAUAAUUAAUACUCAC
Long non-coding RNA from Herpailurus yagouaroundi (jaguarundi), 1160 nucleotides. RefSeq lists it as uncharacterized. The transcript is spliced from 3 exons. Lineage: Eukaryota; Metazoa; Chordata; Mammalia; Carnivora; Felidae. The record is from RefSeq and is a predicted model, not a curated record.